GAUGGCUGUGACGAUUUGUAAAUAUUCAAGCUCAACAGACCAAAUCACAUGUUUUCAUCUAGGAGUUGAUUUGUAUGUCGAUUUAUCCUGCUGAACCGGGCCAUG
This is a small nucleolar RNA of Triticum dicoccoides, 105 nucleotides long. RefSeq annotates it as small nucleolar RNA Z107/R87. The transcript has a single exon. The record is from RefSeq and is a predicted model, not a curated record. NCBI's taxonomy places the organism in Eukaryota, Viridiplantae, Streptophyta, Magnoliopsida, Poales, Poaceae.